RNAcentral lists this ribosomal RNA (579 nucleotides) under uncultured bacterium. RNAcentral's name for it is "partial 16S ribosomal RNA". It matches the Rfam family "Bacterial small subunit ribosomal RNA", at positions 355 to 932 of the family's 1533-position model. The record is from RNAcentral.
UGGGGAAUUUUGGACAAUGGGCGAAAGCCUGAUCCAGCAAUGCCGCGUGUGUGAAGAAGGCCUUCGGGUUGUAAAGCACUUUUGUCCGGAAAGAAAUCCUUGGCUCUAAUACAGUCGGGGGAUGACGGUACCGGAAGAAUAAGCACCGGCUAACUACGUGCCAGCAGCCGCGGUAAUACGUAGGGUGCAAGCGUUAAUCGGAAUUACUGGGCGUAAAGCGUGCGCAGGCGGUUUGCUAAGACCGAUGUGAAAUCCCCGGGCUCAACCUGGGAACUGCAUUGGUGACUGGCAGGCUAGAGUAUGGCAGAGGGGGGUAGAAUUCCACGUGUAGCAGUGAAAUGCGUAGAGAUGUGGAGGAAUACCGAUGGCGAAGGCAGCCCCUGGGCCAAUACUGACGCUCAUGCACGAAAGCGUGGGGAGCAAACAGGAUUAGAUACCCUGGUAGUCCACGCCCUAAAACGAUGUCAACUAGUUGUUGGGGAUUCAUUUCCUUAGUAACGUAGCUAACGCGUGAAGUUGACCGCCUGGGGAGUACGGUCGCAAGAUUAAAACUUAAAUGAAUUGACGGGGUCAUAGCUG